UACGUAGGGGGCUAGCGUUGUCCGGAUUUAUUGGGCGUAAAGAGCGUGUAGGCGGCCAGGUAGGUCUGCUGUGAAAACUCGAGGCUCAACCUCGAGACGUCGGCGGAAACCAUCUGGCUAGAGUCCGGAAGAGGAGAGUGGAAUUCCCGGUGUAGUGGUGAAAUGCGUAGAUAUCGGGAGGAACACCAGUGGCGAAGGCGACUACCUGGCCUGUUCUUGACGCUGAGGCGCGAAAGCUAGGGGAGCAAACGGG
Molecule: ribosomal RNA, 253 nt
Filed under: uncultured bacterium
Lineage: Bacteria
Description: partial 16S ribosomal RNA
Rfam family: Bacterial small subunit ribosomal RNA
Source: RNAcentral